CCAUUGUCUUGUCACAAAGACAUGCAGGUGGCCAGUGAGAGAGGCCAACCUAGGAAGACUGGAGGAACUCAGUUAACCAUCAGCAAGGAGUGAAGACGGGCCAGAAUCUCCAGGGACUUUAGAAGAGCUGAGAGAUGGCUAGGUUAGUCCAUCAUCCUCAGAACAGAGCAUGUUGGAGUGAAGGAAGAUAUGCUGACUGAGAGUUCUAACUUGGGAUCUGAAGGCAGCAGGAAGAGAGAGACCCUGGGCUUGACUUGAGCUUCUGAUGCCCCAAAGCCUACCACCAUUGACACACUUCUCCCAGUAAGGCCACACCUCCUAAUUCCUCUCAAGUAGCACCACUCCCUAAUGAUCAAGCUUUCAAAUAUAUGAGCCUAAAAGUCUUAUUCUUCUUCAAACCACCACAUUUCAUUCCCUGACCACCAUAGACUAGUAUCCAUGUGAUAAUGAAAAAUGUGUUUAGUUCAACUUUAAAAGUCUCCAUAGUCUAUGUGGUUUGCAACCUCUUUGUUGCAACCCCUUUGAGGGCAAAUGAUCCUUUCACAGGGGGUCACCUGAGACCAUCGGAAAACACAGAUAUUUAAUUACAAUUCAUAACAGUAGCAAAACUACAAUUAUGAAGUCUCAACUAAAAUAAUCUUAUGAUGGGAGGGGUCACCACAGCAUGACAGUCUGUAUUAAAGUGUUGUAGCAUUAGGAAGACUGAGAAUCACUGCCAUAGUCUAUAACAGUCUGGAUGCUGUUUAAAAGUCCAAAGUUCAAAAUCUCUUCUGAGGUUCAUGCCAAUCUCUUUUAUUUUUUUUUCCAGAGCUGAGGACCAAACCCAGGACCUUGUGCUUGCUAGGCAAGCGGUCUACCACUGAGCUAAAUCCCCAACCCUCAUGCCAAUCUCUUAAUUGUAACCUACCCCCUAUAAAAUCAAAAUUAAAAGCCAGACCACCUAUUUCCAACAUACAAUGGCACAAAGUAUACAUUACUACUCCAAAAGGGAGAGAAGCCCCACACUGAGGAGUUGUUGAACCAAAGUAAAGAUGAAAGCCAGCAGAGUGAUCUUUAAAUUCUGUGUCUCCAUGUCUGGUAUCACAGCGCUCUUGAGAUCUACAACACCUUUCAACUUUGUUGACUGCAGCAUACUUCUCUUUCUUGGGCUUGCUCCAGUUCAUGUUGGCAGCUUCCCUUGGCAAGUAUCCCAUGACUCUGGCCAAUCUAACAUCUUAGGAUCUCCAAUACAAUUCAAGUUUCAUCUUCACAGAUUCACUCAAUGGCCUCUCUGGACUUCCAUGAAGGGAUACUCCUGCCCCAUGCCUGGCCUCAGUGGUUUUCCUUAGUCAUGGAGGGACAUUCCAUAACCCUUUCUUGUAUCCGUGACUCUAAAGUCGGAAGCACAUGGCCAAAGCUGCAAAGUUCUGCUGUAUGUUGGGUCUGGAACAUGGCCUUCUCUUUCAAGUACAUCUGCAUCUGCUUUCUGCUUUUGAUGGUUUUCUUCAGUACUUCAGCUUUUCUUUAAUUCCUUUUCACAAGGUGGAAGCUCAUCUGCAUGGAGUCUUGCCCAGAGCUUACCACUCCUGCUAUUCUAUUGAGGAUCAGGUUUUUCUUUAAACUUUCUAUCUCCUUGAGCACUGGAAUUAGCUCUAUUAUACUUCCUGUUGGACCUUUUCUCUCCAAACUGUACAUUUUGUUUUUUCCCUCGCUCAGCUUGCUCCCUUUCAUUAUAGAUCUGUGUAAGAGUAACCACUAAUAGCCACAAGGCAGAGCCAAUACUAGAUUGCUUUGAAACCUCCUCUGCCAAUGCCUUUAAUCCAAAACUCUUGAAUUUAGCCUCAGGCCAAUUUUUCUUUUUCAUUUUCUUUUCUCUUCCUUCCUUUUACUUUUUUAACAAGAGAGAAAAAAAACUAGAUUCUUCACUAAAAUAUUACAAGAACAGUCUCUAGGUCACUUCCUAACCUUCUUGUUCUCUGAAAUCUCUUGAGCUGGAUCUUUACAAUCUACAUUGCUCUUAGCAUCACCGUCUUCCGUGUUUAUGCUAGCACAGCCCAUUAAACCCUGCUUAAAGUAUUCAACCGCUUUCCUAAUCCAAAGUCUCAAAGUCCACAUUCUGCCAACAAGCAGCAUGGUGCCUGUCACAGCAAUACCCAGCUCCCUGAUACCAGCUUCUGUCUUAGUAGUGUUCUGCUGUUGUGAAGAGAUACCAUGACCAUGAUAACUCCUAUUUUACAAAAAGCACUUGCUUUAUUGGUGCUUGCUUACAGCUUCAAAGGUAAGCUCUAUCAUUCUCAUGGCAUGGACAUGGCAGCAUUCAAGUGGAGAUGAUAUCUAAGAGUUCUACAUUCAGAUCUGAAGGCAGAAGGAGGAGAGGGACUCUUGGCCCGGCUUGAGCUUCUGAAUCCUCAAAGCCCACCUCCAGUGACACAGUUUUUCCAUCAAGGCCACACUUUCUAAUCACUGUCAAGUAACACCAUUCCCAAAUGACCAAGCCUUCUAAUAUAUGAGCCUAUGGGAACCAUUCUUACUCAAGUCACAAUACUCUGCAUUCUUCAAUAAACUAAUAAGCCCAAGAAAUGCUCAAGUUUUCUUUGGGAAAUAAUGAAGUCAUGGGAGCUCUGAUGAGAACCAAACCUUUAGUAUAUCUAGAGGACAGAUAGAGGAACAAGAAUGAUUUAACCUUCAUACAUUUCUGAAUCUCCAGUGACUAUUCAGAUUUCAGGGACAUAACAAAGAACUCUUCUCAUCUAACAAGCAUACCUUGAAUGUCUCUGACUCACAAGGUGUUACAUGGUGCUAUAUAGGGAAGAGGGAGAAAGAUCAAUGUACUUCAGAGCUCACAAUCUUCUCAACCCCAAGUGGUGGCACACUCCUUUCUCCCAGCACAGCUGAGGGCUGAGGCCAAAGCAGAUGAAUUGCCACAGCCUGGUUCUGCUUAUGGCUCCAGGGAUAUUCAGGCACCAGUGCACUCCAGGACAGAACAAAUCUUGUCUGGGCAGGAUUUGCAGGAAUUCAGUAGUCUUGAGAGCCUGGAGGGAGAAAGAAGCCUUCUCCAAAACAGCUUUUAGUGUCACAGUUCUUUUUAUUUGGAGAUGCAUGGGGGCAGGGUGGGGGUAGAGUAACAAAGACUUUAUAAACCUUGGGGAGUGGGUAGGAGUUUUUGAGGUGAAAGUACUUUAUUGGCUAGCACAGAGAAGCUGGGAAUGCUUCAUUUACAUGAAGAGGAAAUCCAGGUACUUGCUGGAUGUGCCCUUAUGAAAAAAAGAGGAAGUUAAACCUAUAAUUUGGCCACCAGGCUACAAGACUACUUCAAUGGUAGUGGAGGUAGGGGUCACAAAGCUAUGUGCAUUGGGUCAUGCAGGCCCAGAACAGGGAGAAAACGAUCCUUACUCCUGCCCAUCUCAAGAAGAGAUUUUGGGAUUUGGAUAUAUCUCUACCUCACUCUUGCCCUAGGCCUGUUUCCUCCUCCCAUCCUUUUCUCCCUCCCCCUUUUCCCACUUACCCCUACAGAUCACCAUGAGUUCCAAAUCUCUGCUGAGCAUGUGACUUCUGAAUCGUGAGGUGAGAGGACUGGAAUUGUGUUUUCUCAAAUAGCUAGUGUCUGGUUGUGCCUAUCAGUUACAAGAAAGGCUCCAAGCUCCACCAUAGUACAUCAUCAGCCUUGGGCUUUCUAAGCUGCGAAAGAUUCUCCCUUCUCUUCUAUCAACUGUGUCACCUAGUACAGGACACACCUCUGCUCUGCAGUGUCCUAAUGUACAAACUUGAGAUAAUACUCUUCUCAUAGGUCUGUUUUAAGGAUCAAAUGAACCAAUUUUUAAAAAGUGUUUAAACAAGAUCCUGGCAUUAUAAAUAGUAUAGAAUUGUUUAUUGUUGUUAUUUAUUACCUUAGAGCUUCAAACUAGGGUCUAUUAAAUACUUCAGAGGAGGGGACCAUAAGUAUCUUCAUGGAUAAGUAACAUUACAAAGCCACAUGACCUUAACUUACUUCAGGAACAGCCCCACCAUCUCAAGAGAGGUCAAAAUGGGUGUGGCCAAAAGAAGAAGACAGGACCAGAGAAAGGAGGGAGAAAGCACCAUGAGGUGAACCUUCAUAUAUCCUUAGAGAAUAAAUGGAAUCUACUUGUUCAGUAUCAUGUAUAAGUCUUCUUUACUCUGGGUCCUGCUCAUAGGCAGGACAGGGCCAUGGGCAAAUUUGAUUGGCUAAUGACUACUGCCUUGGAAGGUCCUAGACCCACACUAUUGAAAUGUGAAGCACCAUCCAGUCAUGUGUCCAUUGCACUAUCUCUGAUGACAGAGCCGGGGGAAGCUCCCAGAGGAAUCUGCCUGUAUGUUUGAGGACUGGACAUAGUUUCAGGCUGUUUUCCUGCUUUGAGACAAGUAGCUAUGUUCCAUGCUGGGAGGUCUUGAAUAGAUCACGUGCUACCCAGUUAAACAGAUCUAAACAUAGUCACUCUCUUCACAUACUAUUAAACACAGCUACAUUCGAACAAUGUGUAGGUUGAGAGAAGCACCUCCCACCGUAAGAUAAUUGGGAGUGAAGUCACCGUGACAACUUGAAUAACUAAAUUAACCCUAUUACAACCUGUUUUCACGGGGUCAAAGGCUUUUCAAUGGGAUAAUUCAGGUGUAAAAGAAAGCACUCCACAUUCUGAACACCUUGUAACACGUGCUGAAACAGCGGGCAGAAGCAGCAAAUGAUCUGACUUAGCUCAGAAAGGUGGAAUGAAUUCCGAAUAGCAUCCGGCUCCAAUUCAAGUUUCGGUAGCUUGUGAAAGGACAUUUUCAUUUCUUUUUAUCCAACUUUUUAUUCAACUUUUUAUUCAACUUGUUUGAAUAUUGAUUAAAUAACUAGAAAUUAAGAUCAGGUGAGGUGGCACACACCUUUAAUCCUAGUACACUGAAGACAGAGGCAGGUGAAUCGCUCUGAAUUCGAGACCAGUCUGGUCUACAGAGUUUGGCUCCAUAAUGACACCCUGUUUCAAACAAAACAAAAUCUAGGAAAAGAAAAUCGAAUCGAAGCAACAGUGUGACUGAAGAGUUGAUUUACUGAACUCAGAAAUCAUAAAAAAAGUAUUUAAAAGUUGAUGAUGCUAAGGGUUUGUGAUCAUGGAGUAUGUACUCUGGGGGAUUUUUUUUCCACAGAAAUCCCAAGAACUGUGCAGAGAAUAAGAUCCACUCCCACACCCUAUUCUUCUUCUCUUCUGGAGGAGUAAAAGGGCAUUGAGAAGACCAUAUAUUAAGCUACAGGGAUAUAAGUUCCUUCGGGGCAGGAAUUACUACAGCCUGGUUUUGCCCUCUUUCCUUUCCUCAGCCUCUGGUAAACUGGUAGUCCACAGUGACAAUCAGCAGAUACUUACAUGUAAACUAGGACAUAGAAGUUAUACUUUUAUAUUAAAGACUUAUAAAUGCUGAGUUAGGGAGGUGACUUAGUCAGUGGAGUGCUGUGUUACAAGUACAAGGACCCAAGUUUAAUCCCCAGGACCCCCAUUAGAAAAACCAGAGGCCCCACAAGGUGGCACUUGUAUAUGAUUCAAGAGUAAGGAAGGUGACAUAGGCUGAUCCCUGGGGUUUUCUGGCCAGCAGGCUUAGACUACUUGAAAGUUCCAAGCAAGAGAGUGAUUGUGUCUCAAAACAACAACAACAACAACAACAACAACAACAACAAAAAUAGUAUUUGACACUGAGGAAUGACACCCAAGUUAUUCUUUGGCUUCUACAUGCUUGUGCACACAUACUCUAAUGUGCAAAUGUGUUUGCACAAACACACAGGCAUACAAACACAAAAUAAAAAUAAAACAUAUAAGUGCUCUACAUCAGGGAUAGAGUAAGCAUUAUAUGGGCUAAUAAUACAAAAAUGAUAUAAAUUUAAAAAUGAUACUGAAGAAGAAAAUCUAAUAGUCUGUAAACACACAUUUACUACUUAUUAUCUCAGAAUAGCUAGUUUUAAACAAUAUGCAUACCAUUACCUUAAUUCUCCUCAAAUUUUUGUGUAUAAAGAUAGUAAACCAGAAUUUAUACACUAAACUGUGAAUACCAUGGUUAUUAUGUUUUACUCCUAUUUUACAUUUUUCUAAGAUAAGAAAAAUUUCUCUAUAUAAUAGCACAUUAUUAUAGUGCUAUUACUAUAGUACUAUAGUAUAAUAUUACGUUAUAGGAAUAGGGCUGUAGGGACACACAGGAUGCCUACUAUCAAGAAGAAACAGAUUUUUUCCUCAGUACCCAUAGGGAGGAAAGCCAAGACCAAUGGGCAAUUGGUAUUGAGAAACUAAGUUUAGCUUACCGUAAACUAUCUCAACUGUUCAGCACAACAGUGUGCUACACCUAGAAACGGCGAAUCCCUUGUUCCUACACAUGAGAAUCCAAGAGGCUAAAUGACAAGAGCUAACGUGUUAGAAAUGAACUCCACGUCCUCUAAGCCUGGGGCUGGAAGACUCAGUGUGUAUUGCCUCACAGUCCUCUUUGCCACUGUCUUUUCUAACAAGGAAUGGGUUUCUUAAAUAUCCUCUGAAAUACUUUGUGAGAUCUCUACAGUGUCUACCUUAACCUGCUAUGCUACUGCAUGAUGAGUUCCUAGGUUUUUCCAAUCAUUCAUGGAUUUUCAAGAAUGGUGUCAUGAUCACCAUGGGCACUUUUUAGGAAGGACCGGUUUUUUGUAAGCUGACAGCUUCCUUCAUUUAUGGACACAGAAGGUGCUCCCAAGGAAGGUAGAAGCUAGAUGAAGGCAGAGAGCUGUGAAUUAAAGGGAAGGAGUCAUCUGUUUACUUUUGGUUUCUCUGGGGCUUGUUCUAAUUGAAGUGUCCCUGAGUAGUCACUAGCUUCCCCACUCACGGUGUUAAACUUUGAUUGACAGCAAAUUACAGUAUAGUUCUGACUAUUAAUUUGGAACCAUUUGAAAUAGUUCGAGCGAACAUGAAUUAGAUUUACAAUUUGAAUAACACUCCACAAACCAGUUACAUAUUAUCUUUUGAGUAUAUACUGAUAAUGACUUUUGAAAUUGUUCAUUUUUGAGCAGGGAAUAUGGGUGUGAUCUACAAAGAGAACACCUUGUCUGGUCUGAAAUGACAUUGGGUAACCAACUCAGUUCUCUUCUGAGUUUGGUACAUAGCAGGGUAGAGUGAGAAAUAUAUUUGAUGCAUAACCAGGUGCAUCAACACUGCCUUGGAGGAGAUCCCAGCCGCUGUCAUAGAAUGAAUCAAACUUUAAUGCUGGUAUAAAAACAAAUUUGGUUAAGUUUGUAGAACAGUGAAAGUGUUGAGAAUGUCUAUUUAUUUUGUGACAAAAUUCUAAAACUAUCUAAGAUGUACACGGUCUCUCUAACAAAACAGCUCAGAGCACCAGUUUAAACCCACCCAUUGUUCACUUGUAUGAUCAGUUUCUUGGAAUACUUUGGAAUGACCAUCUGGACCCUCUUGUGAAGGGUGAAAAAGAAAAGGAUUAAGACUAUAAAACCACCCGAAGCUGUGUAUGCCACAGAAACUGAAGCCACACUUUCAGGAAAGACUGCUUAAACAUCACACUUCUCCCCCUGCCAAGAACUCCUGGAAAAUCAUGAGAAAUGCAGGGAUGGAAAUGGAGAAGAGCCUGAGGAAAAGAAGGUCCAACAACAGGCCCAAAAUGGGAUCCAGCUCAAGGGGAGGCCUCAAGACCUGACACCAUUACUGAAGCUAUGAGACAUUCACAAAAAGGACCUGUCAUGACUGCUCUCCAAAAGACCCAACGAGCAGCUGAAAGAGUCAGAUGUAGAUAUCUGCACCCAACCAACAAGCAGAAGCUGCUGACCCCUUUGGUUGAAUUAGGGAAAAGCUGGAGGAAGCUACAGAGGAGGGCAACCCUGUAGGAGGACCAGCAGUCUCAAUUAACCUGGACCCCUGAGAUCUCUUAGAUACUGGAUCAUCAACCAGGCAGCAUACACCAGCUGAGGUGAGGCCUCCAACACAUAUAUAGUAGAGGACUCCCUGGUCUGGGUUUGGUCAGAGAAGAAGUAUCUAAUUCUCAAGAGACUG
Non-coding RNA from Rattus norvegicus (Norway rat), 7985 nucleotides. Lineage: Eukaryota; Metazoa; Chordata; Mammalia; Rodentia; Muridae. The record is from RefSeq and is a predicted model, not a curated record.